RNAcentral lists this ribosomal RNA (253 nucleotides) under uncultured bacterium. Its description in RNAcentral is "partial 16S ribosomal RNA". It matches the Rfam family "Bacterial small subunit ribosomal RNA", at positions 524 to 776 of the family's 1533-position model. The record is from RNAcentral.
UACGGGGGGGGCAAGCGUUGUUCGGAAUUACUGGGCGUAAAGCGUGCGCAGGCGGCUAUGCAAGACAGAUGUGAAAUCCCCGGGCUCAACCUGGGAACUGCAUUUGUGACUGCAUGGCUAGAGUACGGCAGAGGGGGAUGGAAUUCCGCGUGUAGCAGUGAAAUGCGUAGAUAUGCGGAGGAACACCGAUGGCGAAGGCAAUCCCCUGGGCCUGUACUGACGCUCAUGCACGAAAGCGUGGGGAGCAAACAGG